This 109-nucleotide ribosomal RNA is filed under the name uncultured eukaryote. RNAcentral describes it as "partial small subunit ribosomal RNA". It matches the Rfam family "Bacterial small subunit ribosomal RNA", at positions 1419 to 1525 of the family's 1533-position model. The record is from RNAcentral.
UCCAGAAGUACCUGAGCCAACUCGCAAGAGAGGCAGGGUCCCAAGGAGUGACCGGUAACUGGGGUGAAGUCGUAACAAGGUAGCCGUAGGUGAACCUGCAGAAAGAUCA